UGAGUGCGAGCUGCUACGGCAGCGAAGUUGGUGAUGUCAUGCUUCCAAGAAAAGCCCUAUACCCGUUAAGGCAUCAUGGCCUGUACCCGAAACCGACACAGGUGGGGUGGUAGAGAAUACCGAGGGGCGCGAGGUAACUCUCUCUAAGGAACUCGGCAAAAUGGCCCCGUAACUUCGGGAGAAGGGGUGCCACCGCAAGGCGGUCGCAGUGAAGAGGCCCAGGCGACUGUUUACCAAAAACACAGGUCUCCGCUAAGUCGCAAGACGAUGUAUGGGGGCUGACGCCUGCCCAGUGCCGGAAGGUUAAGGAAGCUGGUCAGCGCAAGCGAAGCUAGCGACUGAAGCCCCGGUGAACGGCGGCCGUAACUAUAACGGUCCUAAGGUAGCGAAAUUCCUUGUCGGGUAAGUUCCGACCCGCACGAAAGGCGUAACGAUCUGGGCGCUGUCUCGGAGAGAGGCUCGGCGAAAUAGAAUUGUCUGUGAAGAUGCGGACUACGUGCACCCGGACAGAAAGACCCUAUGAAGCUUUACUGUAGCUUGGUAUUGUGCCCGGGCUCGCAAUGCGCAGGAUAGGUGGGAGGCUUUGAUCAUCGGCUUGCGGGUCGAUGUGAGCCAACGGUGAGAUACCACUCUUUGCGAGCUAGGGUUCUAACGGCCACCCGUCAUCCGGGGGCCGGACAGUACCUGGUGGGCAGUUUGACUGGGGCGGUCGCCUCCUAAAAGGUAACGGAGGCGCGCAAAGGUUUGCUCAGGCUGGUUGGAAAUCAGCCGACGAGUGUAAAAGCAGAAGCAAGCUUGACUGUGAGACCAACAAGUCGAACAGGGAGGAAACUCGGCUUUAGUGAUCCGACGGUUCUGAGUGGAAGGGCCGUCGCUCAACGGAUAAAAGUUACUCUAGGAUAACAGGCUGAUCUCCCCCAAGAGUUCACAUCGACGGGGAGGUUUGGCACCUCGAUGUCGGCUCAUCGCAACCUGGGGCUGAAGUCGGUCCCAAGGGUUGGGCUGUUCGCCCAUUAAAGCGGUACACGAGCUGGGUUCAGAACGUCGUGAGACAGUUCGGCCCAUAUCCGGUGCACGCGCAGGAAUAUUGAGAGGAUUUCUCCCUAGUACGAGAGGACCGGGAGGAACGCACCUCUGGUGUACCAGUUAUCGUGCCAACGGUAAACGCUGGGUAGCCAUGUGCGGAGUGGAUAACCGCUGAAAGCAUCUAAGUGGGAAGCCCACCUCAAGAUGAGUAUUCCCAUGGCGUAAGCCAGUAAGGUCACGGGAAGAACACCCGUCGAUAGGCUCUAUGUGGAAGCGCAGUAAUGCGUGAAGCAGAGGAGUACUAAUAGACCGAGGGCUUGACCG
This 1350-nucleotide ribosomal RNA is filed under the name metagenome. Its description in RNAcentral is "bacterial LSU rRNA". It matches the Rfam family "Bacterial large subunit ribosomal RNA", at positions 1564 to 2925 of the family's 2925-position model. The record is from RNAcentral.